UACAUCGGAACGUACCUUAUCGUGGGGGAUAACGCAACGAAAGCUGUGCUAUUACCGUAUACGCCCUGAGGGGGAAAGCGGGGGAUCGAAAGACAUCGAGCGAUUAGAGCGGUAGAUGCCUGAUUAUCUUGUUGGUGGGGUAAAAGCCCACCCCGGCGACCAUCACUACCUGGGCUGAGAGGACCAUCAACCAUCCAGGGAAUGAGACACGGCCCACACUCUUCACCGAGGCGGGAGUGGGGAAUUUUGGACAAUGGGGGAAACCCUGCUCCACCAAUGCCGCGAGGGUGAAGAAGGCCUUCGGGUUGUUCAGCUCUUUUGUCACGGAAGAAACGCCGGCUUCAACACCUCCCGCGAAUGACGGUCACUGAAGAAUACUGACCGGUUAACUACUUGUUAACUAGCCGCGGUAAUACGGAAGG
This 422-nucleotide ribosomal RNA is filed under the name uncultured bacterium. Its description in RNAcentral is "bacterial SSU rRNA". It matches the Rfam family "Bacterial small subunit ribosomal RNA", at positions 114 to 532 of the family's 1533-position model. The record is from RNAcentral.